CGGCGGCCAUGAGGCGCGCGUCUCGGGCCCCGGGUUCUCCCGAGCCCCGCGGGGCGGGUCCUCCGGCCUCGCCUUUCGGGGCAGGCGUGGCCGCGCUCUCCCUGGCGCUGCUCGGCCCCGAGACCCGGACGGCGGCGGCGGCGCGCGCGGCCCGCAGGGAGUUCGCUUACUGGCAGCUACACCCGUGAGGGAUGCUGGGGUCUUGGGUAGGAACAUGACUGUCAACCUGUGAAGGUCGCCUUACCAUGUGAGCAUUGGCUAGAGUGACCGGUGGCCUCAAGAUCUGGAGUCCAGGAGGGACGGAGGUGCAGCUGUGGGCUUUGCCGCCCUGGGACCAGGCACAUGCAGCGUCUGAGGCCCGCCUGCACCAAGCCACACAGCUGCAGACUAUAUUCUGCUUUUGUUUCAAGGGUGGGCAGGCUGAUGCUGGUCCGUCCUGCUGCCUGUGGCCUCAGCCCUGGGUGGGGCUACACCACGGCUGCCUGGGGGCACCUCGUGGGACCACCGCAUGCAGAACAGACUUUGUAUCACUUUAAUCAACCCUUUUAAAGCCCCACCUCAAGGAUCACUUGAGGCCAGCCUGAGCAACAAGACCUCCGCUCUACAAAAAAUUUAAAAAUUAGCCAGUGGCAUGUGCCUGUAGUCCCAGCUCUCAGGAGGCUGAGACAGGAGGAUCACUUUAACCCAGGAGUUUUAGGUUAUGGUAAGCUAUGAUGCUGUUGUACUCCAGCCCGGGCAAGAGUGAAAAAAAAAAAAAAAGAUUAGCAUUAAGGAUAUGGGCCUUAUGGGUUGGAAUUUUAAGCAAGAGGUUUUAAAGUGAAUGGAAAGAUUUGAUGCACUUCCAAGGAGAGUAUUUCUGUGUUGGCAAAACUUGAGAAUAAAUUGGUCUUGAAUUCACUGUA
Molecule: long non-coding RNA, 902 nt
Organism: Microcebus murinus (gray mouse lemur)
Lineage: Eukaryota; Metazoa; Chordata; Mammalia; Primates; Cheirogaleidae
Source: RefSeq, a predicted model, not a curated record